GACGAACGCUGGCGGCGUGCUUAACACAUGCAAGUCGAACGGAAAGGCCCUGCUUUUGUGGGGUGCUCGAGUGGCGAACGGGUGAGUAACACGUGAGUAACCUGCCCUUGACUUUGGGAUAACUUCAGGAAACUGGGGCUAAUACCGGAUAGGAGCUCCUGCUGCAUGGUGGGGGUUGGAAAGUUUCGGCGGUUGGGGAUGGACUCGCGGCUUAUCAGCUUGUUGGUGGGGUUGUGGCUUACCAAGGCUUUGACGGGUAGCCGGCCUGAGAGGGUGACCGGCCACAUUGGGACUGAGAUACGGCCCAGACUCCUACGGGAGGCAGCAGUGGGGAAUAUUGCACAAUGGGCGGAAGCCUGAUGCAGCAACGCCGCGUGCGGGAUGACGGCCUUCGGGUUGUAAACCGCUUUCGCCUGUGACGAAGCGUGAGUGACGGUAAUGGGUAAAGAAGCACCGGCUAACUACGUG
This 468-nucleotide ribosomal RNA is filed under the name uncultured bacterium. RNAcentral's name for it is "partial 16S ribosomal RNA". It matches the Rfam family "Bacterial small subunit ribosomal RNA", at positions 28 to 507 of the family's 1533-position model. The record is from RNAcentral.